This is a long non-coding RNA of Megalobrama amblycephala (Wuchang bream), 1415 nucleotides long. RefSeq lists it as uncharacterized. The transcript is spliced from 3 exons. The record is from RefSeq and is a predicted model, not a curated record. Lineage: Eukaryota; Metazoa; Chordata; Actinopteri; Cypriniformes; Xenocyprididae.
CAUAUUAUAAAAGAAGGGCUUGAUCCAGCAGUACAGGCAGUAUGAACAAGACCCAGAUGAAUGAAGAGGCUUUUUCAAACCAACUACGGCCUGUGUCUCAGUUCAUGAUCAAAAAUCCCCCAUCUGGCAGUAUUUUGCUGAAGAUGAGGAGCAACUCAUGUUUUCAUUAGUUUUAUCCACUAGUUCCUCAUUUCCAGGUUUUGCUGGUGAUGGAAACUCCCAGACCUUCAUUAAUGUCAUCUGACAGCGAUCUUUACAAUGGCUCUGCUGGUUUGAUUGUUUCCAAUCAAACCAAGAACAAUGCAGACAACACUGGACAAACUUUCUAUAUUUUAGUCAUUGCUAUCAUUGAAUUCCCAGUGAUCUGUCUGGCUAUUUAUGCUGCUUGUUCUCUAAUCAAAUCUAAACGAGAAGCUCCUGUUUUUGUCCUAAAUCUACUCAUUUCAGAUCUAAUCUUUAUUGUUUGCACAUUACUUCAGAUUAGAUUCUGCUCAUCCUACAUGUUGAUAGCAACAGAGUGGACUUGUGCCACAGGUAUGUAUUUCAUGACAUGCAUAGCCGUAGAGAGAUACGUUAUGAUCGCUCAUCCCAUUUGGCACAGGACUCAUCGCUCAUUCAAAUGUCUUGUUUGUACUUCUCUGACUGGUUGGGUUGUAUCUUUGAUCGUUAUUCCAAUCUACUAUACAAAAUUGGUCCUGAUAAAUUUCAUUCCCUUCAUCUUCUAUCCAGUGAUCAUUUUGUGUUUUGUAGGUGCAUGCAGGUCCCUCUCUCGCUCAAUAACACUCACUCCUGUAAAGAAGCAGUUAGUUCUGGCUCCUCUGUUCUUUGUGGUGAUCAGCUACACCUUUCUAAUUCUACCACUUAAUAUUGUAUUGAUUGAGUAUCUAGAAUUUAAUAAUACCCUAGGUAGUAUGUUGAAUUUUACUUCAUGUCUUUUUCUGUUAAACCCGCUUGUGGACUGUUUGCUGUAUGUGUUCAUGAGAAGUGACUCUGAGAACAUCAUCAGGAUGCCUCACUGCUGCACCAGACUGAAGAGAGUUCAGAGUGAAACGAGACACACAACAUCUACUAAUGUACAGCAUGAUCAUGUGUGAGAAAUUCACACUAGACCACUGAUGUCAGCAACUAAUGCACAGUAUGUACAGUAAUAGUUCUCAAAUAACUCAUUACAGCAUGUAUAACUGGAUGAAAUAUCACAUAUAUUUGUGUACAUAUUGUAGUAUGAUUCAAUGAAUGAAAUGAUGUCCUGCAAUUGUGUUUGUGCUAUUGAGCUUUAUGUCUGUAGAUCACUGGUAAUGCUGUUACAAAAAUGUACCUUUAGUAUGGUUAUGAUACUUGUACUUGUAAAUGAUCUAGUCAUGUUGAUCUUAAAGUGGUUAAAAACUUCAUGUGAAUUGCUAAUACCACAUUUACUA